GACGAACCGUCCAAACGUUAUUCGGUAUCACUGGGCUUAAAGCGUUCGUAGGCGGCCUAGUAGGUGAGAUGUGAAAGCCCACGGCUCAACCGUGGAACAGCGUUUCAAACCACUAGGCUCGAGGAUGGCAGGGGUAAUGGGAACUGAUGGUGGAGCGGUGAAAUGCGUAGAUAUCCGGAGGAACACCGGUGGCGAAGGCGGCUUCCUGGACCGACACUGACGCUGAGGCGCGAAAGCUAGGGGAGCAAACGGG
Molecule: ribosomal RNA, 253 nt
Filed under: uncultured bacterium
Lineage: Bacteria
Description: partial 16S ribosomal RNA
Rfam family: Bacterial small subunit ribosomal RNA
Source: RNAcentral